This 4824-nucleotide unclassified non-coding RNA is filed under the name Hevea brasiliensis (rubber tree). Lineage: Eukaryota; Viridiplantae; Streptophyta; Magnoliopsida; Malpighiales; Euphorbiaceae. The record is from RNAcentral.
CAGCCCUAUGCUCCCGGACUCGUGUACUCGAACUUUUUAAUCCAAGUACUUCUCACGCCCAUUUAUGAUUUUACCAUCUCCCGAACAGCCUCCUUUCUCCCUAUCUCAAUUUCAUCACUGCUCCAUGGAAUUCAAAUUUCGAGCUGUAGACGGCAAACCGCCAACGUUAUUCUCUUCGUCAUCGACUCUCGGAUACUUUUCCGAAGAAGCAUUUCGAGCAAACUAUCCAAACAUUGAUCCGAGACAAAACCCCGAGCUAAUGCGAAACCAAACGCUCCAGUGCGAAAUCGAGAAGCAGCGUAUCAGAGAAGAGAUAAUCGCAAAGGAAAUCGCACGGCGGCGGGUACUCGAAGCCGAGGUGAGGAGAGAGCUGAUGAUGGAGAGAGAAAUGGCAAUGCGAGUAGGAAUCAGGGACGGAGGCCUGUCUUCUGAGGAAAGACUGACAAUGCGGCUUGAACAGGGAGCUUGGUUCCCUUGCGUGAACCAAUUUGACAAUCGCCGGCUCGAAGAUCGAUCAGCAUUUCAUGGUCAUGGCGUGUUCGAUCAAUGGCCAAGGUUAUCAGAAGCUUUGGUGUUGCCUGAUGUUAAGCCAGUUUCAGAAGAUAAUAAGGAUAAACUAAUAGUACUGGCUAAGCCUGAUCCAAAUCAUUGUGGAGCAAAGCGGAAGGCUGCAACACCACCUGAAGGAGGUGCUGCUGGGCUCCCAUAUGCUGGUUUAAAGAAGAAACUCAAGGAAGAUUGGAGCUGCGCCCUAUGUCAGGUUAGCGCUACAAGUGAAAGAGGUUUGAAUGAACACCUUCAAGGCAAGAGGCACAAGGCUAAGGAAGCAAGAUUGAGAGCAAAUAGGGUGGCCAAAAACUUAAGUCCUAUACCGUUUCCAAAGAAAACUGCAAAACCAGCUAAUCUCACUACCAGUAUUGCAGGCUCAGAACUAGAGGCAAAAGUUGAAGGGGAAUUACUUGAAGUUGAAAAAGCUAAUGAUGAUACAGACAAGAAAAGAGAGAACAAACAAGAUUCAGGGAAUGCAAAUGAUAAGCUGCAAAAAUGUACAUACAGAAAAUUUGAAGAGAAAAGGGGCAGGGAAAUUGCAGAGGAGAGGACAGCAGAAUUUAGGAAGAAGAAACAAUUCAAGUUCUGGUGUGAAAUGUGUCAGAUUGGUGCCUACUCUGCAGUGGUAAUGGAGGCUCAUGAAAAGGGGAAGAAGCACAAAUUUCAGCUGCAGCAGCUUCAUCAAAACGGAGAAGCUGUCCCAGCCAUCACUACAAUGGUAUCAUCUAAAGCUGGCGAGAAGGCAAAGGAUAGAGAAGCUGUGACUGUAGAAGCAAAUGAGAAGAAGACGGGAAAUGCCAACUAUAAAGAAAAAACAACAGAAACUGUUGCAGGCAAUGACAAGAUAAUAGAAAAUGGGCCGCAGAUGAUGAGAGAUCAGGAUAAUCUUCAAUUUCAAGUCAAUAAGCAAAAUUGAACCACCCUCGUUGUUUGGGAAGGUAUCCUCUAGACAUGGACGUGAAGUUCAAGGUUACAUUUUCCGUUUCUUGUUUGUUAAGUAACUUUUACUUAAAACCUUGCAUCUGAAAUGGAGCCAGCAACAACAGAUCUUUUAGAAUUGGAAAUUGGACGUGUCUUGAUUAAAAUUAUUAUCUUGUCCCUUUGUAGGUUAGAAUGGAACUCUUAUUGACAUGGUCUUUAAAACGCGCAGCGUACGAAGACCAAUGCUUUUUCAUGAUAGAAACUUAGCUUUCACCGAUUGGUCUACCUUAGGAAGAAUUGGCUUCAAGUCCACGCAAAGAACUUGGAUGUAACUCGUUACCAGGCCAACGCCUCCUCAUAAUGUAAACUAACUUUCACCGAUUGGUGUACCUUUGGAAGAAUUAGCUUCGAGUCUACGCAAAGACCUACUUGGAGGUAAACCCUUACCAGGCAAUCGCUUAAGCCAUUUACACAUCAAUUCACUUGUAAGUUUAUCAUCUGGCCAGACUACAGGGUUCUAGUUUAAUUUUUGCAUUAUAAUUAUUUUCUUGACGUGACCGACCUUUGAGAUCCAAAACCCAUGAAUCCGUACUCAAAAUUUCAUGAUUGUACAAUAGAAAGGCAACCCAUGAAUGCCCCAACGGGAUUGCUCUUAAACCGAAAAGUUUAAUUGGUUGAACACAUGCUUUAUUCUUUCAAGGGAAGAAACAAUGAUAACGUCAACAAAUUGCAAUGGUUGGCUCACCUCCAUCCAUCCUCACCCAUAAAAGGAAUAGCUCUAAGCAUCAAGACUUGAGGAAUUGGUUUUCAGCUCCCCCUCAUAACUUCCCACACCAGACAAAAGAAAAGGCCUGAAUAGGCACAAUGAGCAAUAAUUCCUUUCACAUUGUUCACCUAGGAUAAAACCUGCAGCAGUAACACAAUUUGGAACUUAUCUUUCAAUAAUUCCAAAAACAAUUUGUUGAUAACUCCAAAUUAGACCCCUAGAUUUCCCUGAACUAAGCUUAGAGAAGGGUUUAACAAAAGCUUAAGGCACAAUCAAGGGGAUAUGCAUCUCCAUCUCAUAAAGCGCAACAAGACUAAAAGUGAUCCCCUGAUUAAAGCAAGACCCAGAGUUCCAGCCUCAAUUGAAGGGUCCUAGGGCACUAGACACAUAUCUCACCGUGCUUUUGCACCUACGUAAACAAUUUGUGGACUUUUGACUACCCUGCGAAAGCUAACCAAAGAUAUAAUGCACACAAAUUUGGUAUCUCAGCAUCAAUUCAUCUACGACUAUAAUACAUGGAUCUAUUUUUUCUUUACAAGUAAGGGAGAAAUGAAAAUGAGAGUUAAUAGUGAGAAGAUUUGGCAAAGAAACUUUUCCAACCUCACCAAAAUAUAAUCUUCAAUUGCAGUUGAACUAAGAAGUCAAACCCUCAAUGCCACCUGAUCCUGCCAUGAAAUCUUCCUCUUACCUGCCCGACCUGAUCCAUUUCCAGCACUCCUACAAGCUGAUAACUUCAUAUCACUGUGUUGCUCAUCACUCCCACCUCUUACUAAGCAUAUCUUUGGCUCAUCUAUUAUCACUUCUCCAUUAGCCUGUAUUUCUUCCUCCUCCCUCGAAAUCCGGUUCAGGUCAAAAAUAGGACCAUUGUUUCUAACAGAAACUUCCUUUCCGCUGUAAAUCCUUUCCUUUAUAUUCAAGUCUGGAAUUGUAGCUGAAUUACGUAAUACAGAUUCCUUCCCAAUAUACGUCCUCUGCUUCUGGCUCAAGUCAAAAAUUGGACCAAGGGUUUGCAAAGCAGCUUCUCUUUCACUGUAAAACUUUCCCUUUCUGUUUAAAUCAAAUCGUGAAGCCGGGCGCUGCACAGCAGCAUCAUUCCCAAUGUAAUUCCUUUCUUUGCUUUCUUUCCUUACGGUUCUACUAACAUUUACUAAGUUCUGCUUCUGUCCAUAUUUUGGUUCAGAAGCAGGGUUUUGAGACUGGUUUUGCAUCAAGAACUUGUACCGUUGCCUCAGAAACCUACAAUUCAAAAGAUAAACAUUUAAUUCAAACUUAAACUAUAUCUCAUUCCAACUCAAGUGCAAAUCCACAAAAUAUAUGAGGGCAUAAUAAUAUAUCCAGCCUUAAUUAAAUAUAAAGAGUACCUGAUUUCAGACAAAAGGGUCAAUUUUUUCUGUUUCAUCGUCUCCAAUUUCUUUUUCUGAGCUUCUGUUUCCUGUUAAGUGUUUAAAGUUAUAAGUCCAUAUACAGCUAGCUGAAGGCAUUGAAUUUGAAACCUUACAAGACGAAUUGUUAACCAGUUAAAAGCCUGAAGACUACACAUUUAAAAAGAAUGUUAAAACCAUUAGAACAAAAAAUCUAUGUUCCAAACAUGGGCGCAGAAGGUUUUCAGUCAAUUUCUGGGCAAAGCUAGGAACCCAUAGUGUGGAUUCUUCAACCUACUAACAGGAAAAAGGGUAAAAGCAAGUUCUUCUUAAACCAUAUCAAUCCACAUGAACCUGUAACACUGAAUAACACGUACAAAGUGCAAACAUAUAAAAUCAAACAGAACAAAAACUAGGAAUUCAUUUGUGAAAAAGGUCUGUAAAUAGACAGGGAUAACCAGGCAAAAUCUAAAGGAUUUUCCUGUGAAAUCCUGAAAGCAGGUAACCAUCGAAUGGAAAAUUUCCAGCCAAACGCACAGUAGAUAUGGGUGAAGGCAAGUUCUCAAAAACCAAAUAAAUCAACAUAGACGAACAUAAUCACAAAGAGGCAUAAACCAAAUCCAGAUCGAAAUCAGAAGUCCCAGAUAAACGCAUUAAAAAUUUGCCAAUAACAAAACAACUGAUCUGUUUGGCUGUUGAGUGAAAACAGAAAACAACAAAGAACACGCAAAGACAUCAGAAACCCAAAAAUUUCCCCCUCAAGUUAGCCUCACACCAAUAAGCUUAUUGAGUAGUGCUCGUAAACUCUGAAUGAAAGUUUCGCUUUUCUUCCCCUUUUUACCCAGUUCUCCUCUACAACCAAACAUCAAACUUAUGAGCGCAACGAUGCGCAUAAUUUUGAAAAUUUAUCUGCUUAUUUUUAUUUUUCCCAGGAACCAAACAAGCAUAGGAAAACGCAACAUAUAGAAAACCUGUAAAAUUAUGAACAAAACCCACAAAAGGAAAUCUAACAAACACCAGAUCUAAUUUAAAAAAAUAAAAAAGAAACCACAUAUCUUUGGAAACCCAAAGCAAGCUAUUACCCUGUACAACUCCUCAUAAUCCUGCAUAAGACUUUGAUGCUUGAGCCUGGUCCUCUGAACCUCAUAUAAGAUUGCAUAUGGAGAAGACUCCAUAGCAGCAGCAACCCCCUUCAUUCUCUUCAUCAUCAGAUCGAAUACGAUAUUA